This 113-nucleotide ribosomal RNA is filed under the name Nestor notabilis (Kea). Lineage: Eukaryota; Metazoa; Chordata; Aves; Psittaciformes; Psittacidae. The record is from RNAcentral.
GCCUACGGCCAAACCAACCUGAAAACUCUCGAUAUCAUCUGAUCUCGGAAGCUAAACAGGGUCAGGUUUGGUUAGUACUUGGAUGGGAGGUAUAUAAUCAAAUGUUUUAACAA